Long non-coding RNA from Ictalurus punctatus (channel catfish), 118 nucleotides. RefSeq lists it as uncharacterized. The transcript is spliced from 2 exons. NCBI's taxonomy places the organism in Eukaryota, Metazoa, Chordata, Actinopteri, Siluriformes, Ictaluridae. The record is from RefSeq and is a predicted model, not a curated record.
CUCACGUUCGUGGAAGUGUUUGAUAGCACAAACAAAGGAGAUUUCCGAGGACCUCAGAAAAGGAGGUGUUGAUCAGCUGGAAAAGGUCAUGCCAAGUCUGUAGCUCUUAAUGCCCUGG